Chelonia mydas (Green sea turtle) is the source of this 356-nucleotide long non-coding RNA. RefSeq lists it as uncharacterized. The record is from RefSeq and is a predicted model, not a curated record. NCBI's taxonomy places the organism in Eukaryota, Metazoa, Chordata, Testudines, Cheloniidae. The transcript is spliced from 2 exons.
CUGAAUUAUGUCCUCUUUUUUCAGAAGUUUGUAAGGUUUUUCUUCUGUGACAUCUUCAUUAAUUCGACAAUUUAAAAUUUCUUGUGUCUUUUGAGUGAAAACUAAUGGAAAGAUCUCUGGGUGGCCUAGAAAAGGUCCUCCACUGCAUCCGCUCUGCUGCAGUCAUCCACUGAAAUCAGUGGAAUACUAAGCCAUUCCUAGUAUACACUGCAAUAUGAAAGAUGUGUUCUAUCUGGACUUCCUGGCUAUUACACAACAUUGUGCAGUAUGCAUACAACACACACACACACACACACACACACACAAUUCCUGUGUCUAUUUGCUUCACAAGUGCUAAUUAACAUUUCAUUGCUUUC